AGUGAACGCUGGCGGUAGGCUUAACACAUGCAAGUCGAACGGCAGCGCAGUACUUGCGUGGGCUGACGGGGGGGCAGACGGGUACGUAAGAGGAAAACAACCUAAUCUAGACUUUGGGAUGGGUUAACGUAGCUAAACUUACGCCAAGACCGGAUACCACCUUGGAGGGUAGGCGUGGGAACUUUGGACCGGGUGGGAGGGGAUGAGCUGGUGGCGUAUCAGCUUGUUGGCGGGGGAGUGGCCUACGAAGGCGUUGACGGGUAGCCGGCCUGAGAGGGUGGCCGGCCACAUUGGGACUGAGAUACGGCCCAGACUCCUACGGGAGGCAGCAGUGGGGAAUAUUGCACAAUGGGCGGAAGCCUGAUGCAGCAACGCCGCGUGCGGGAUGACGGCCUUCGGGUUGUAAACCGCUUUCGCCUGUGACGAAGCGUGAGUGACGGUAAUGGGUAAAGAAGCACCGGCUAACUACGUG
RNAcentral lists this ribosomal RNA (472 nucleotides) under uncultured bacterium. RNAcentral describes it as "partial 16S ribosomal RNA". It matches the Rfam family "Bacterial small subunit ribosomal RNA", at positions 30 to 507 of the family's 1533-position model. The record is from RNAcentral.